RNAcentral lists this ribosomal RNA (480 nucleotides) under uncultured bacterium. Its description in RNAcentral is "SSU rRNA". It matches the Rfam family "Bacterial small subunit ribosomal RNA", at positions 26 to 523 of the family's 1533-position model. The record is from RNAcentral.
AGGACGAACGCUGGCGGCGUGCUUAACACAUGCAAGUCGAGCGGAAAGGCCCUUCGGGGUACUCGAGCGGCGAACGGGUGAGUAACACGUGAGCAAUCUGCCCCUAGCUCUGGGAUAGCUCCGGGAAACCGGAAUUAAUACCUGAUACGACCACGGCUGACAUCGGCCAUGGUGGAAAGCUUUUGCGGCUAGGGAUGAGCUCGCGGCCUAUCAGCUUGUUGGUGGGGUAACGGCCUACCAAGGCGACGACGGGUAGCCGGCCUGAGAGGGCGACCGGCCACACUGGGACUGAGACACGGCCCAGACUCCUACGGGAGGCAGCAGUGGGGAAUAUUGCGCAAUGGGCGAAAGCCUGACGCAGCGACGCCGCGUGCGGGAUGAAGGCCUUCGGGUUGUAAACCGCUUUCAGCAGGGACGAAGCGAAAGUGACGGUACCUGCAGAAGAAGCGCCGGCUAACUACGCGCCAGCAGCCGCGGUAA